RNAcentral lists this ribosomal RNA (273 nucleotides) under Triticum aestivum (bread wheat). Its description in RNAcentral is "partial small subunit ribosomal RNA". Lineage: Eukaryota; Viridiplantae; Streptophyta; Magnoliopsida; Poales; Poaceae. The record is from RNAcentral.
AUGUAUGCCGGCUCCAACCCCACCUCAGAGAUAAGGAACUCGGACCUACGGUGCAGCAUACCACCUAAACGUCUUCUUCAAGUAUUCCAUUUUGGCAGCAAUCUUCUCCUCACUGACGAAUGCAACAGACCGCAGAGCUAGCCUGCACAUCCCAGAGCCCCGAGGCACACCUAAAGCUUGAGCAGAGGCAACCAUCGCCCGGAUUUGCUCCACGUUGGCGGUGAGCAUCCUUGGCAUAGAGAUGGCAAGCUUGCCAAUAUCGCAAGCACCUAA